AGUAAGGGAAAGAUGAAAGAACUGUAUCAAGCACUGAAAAGCAAAGACAAGCCCUUAUGCCUUCUGCAUAAUGUAUUAACCAGAAAUAACUUUACACAGAGAACUAUAGCCAAGUCCCCCGAAACCAGCCAAGCUACCCAAGAACAACUGAAAGAGCACACUCACCUAUGUGGCAAAAUAGUGGGAAGAUUCAUGAGUAGAAGUGACAAGCCUAUGGAGCCUGGUGAUAGCUGGUUGUCCAAGAUAGACUCCUAGUUCAACUUUAAGCUCAUACACAGAAUUACUUAAUCUCCCUGUAAGUUUAACUGUUAGUCUAAAGAGGGACAGCUCUUUAGACCCUAGGAAACAACCUUCCUACAGAAAAUAAAAAAUAUUAUCACCACAGUUGGCCCAAAAGCAGCCACCAAUUAAGAACGUGUUUAAGCUCAACAUCUAUCUUAAAUUCUAAUCACUCUACUGAACUCCUAACAUCACACUGGACUAAUCUAUUACUUAAUAGACACAAUAAUGUUAGUAUAAGUAACAUGAAGACAUUCUCCAUUGCAUAAGCUUACAUCAGACCAGAAUAAUCCACUGACAGUUAACAGCCUAAUAUUAAUAAACAAUAUAAUAAACACCCUAUUAUUUACACUGUUAACCCAACACAGGUAUGCUCUAAGGAAAGAUUACAAAAAGUAAAAGGAACUCGGCAAAUCAUACUCUGCCUGUUUACCAAAAACACACCUCUAGCAUUACCAGUAUUUGAGGCACUGCCUGCCCAGUGACAUUUGUUCAACAGCCACAGUAUCCUGACCAUGCAAAAGUAGCAUAAUCACUUGUUCCCUAAAUAGGGACUUGUAUGAAUGGCCACAGGAGGGUUUGGCUGCCUCUUACUUUUAAUCAGGGAAAUUGACCUAUCCAUGAAGAGGCAGAUAUAAACAAAUAAGAUGAGAAGCUCCCUAUGGAGCUUUAAUUCAUUAAUGCAAAUUAAAACUCAAACAAGCCUACAGGCUCUAGCCUACUAUUCUUGCAUUAAAAUUUUUGGUUGGGGUGACCUUGGAGCAUAAUUCAACCUCUGAACAACCUACACUAAGACUGCACUAGUCUAAGUGAGUUAAUACAUAUGGACCCAAUAAUUUGAUCAACAGAGUAAGGUACCCUAGGGAUAACAGCACAAUCCGUUCUACAGUUCAUAUUGACAAUAGGGUUUAUGACCUUGAUGUUAGAUCAGGACAUCCUAAUGGUGUAACCACUGUUAAGGAUUCAUUUAUUCAAUGAUUAAAGUCGAUUAACGUGAUCUGAGUUCAGACUGGAGUAAUCCAGGUUGGUUUCUCCAAGUAUGAAAGGACAAGAGAAAUAGAGUCCCUUUCAUAAAGUGCCCUCACUUC
Pan troglodytes (chimpanzee) is the source of this 1367-nucleotide ribosomal RNA. It matches the Rfam family "Bacterial large subunit ribosomal RNA". Lineage: Eukaryota; Metazoa; Chordata; Mammalia; Primates; Hominidae. The record is from Rfam.